RNAcentral lists this ribosomal RNA (258 nucleotides) under uncultured bacterium. Its description in RNAcentral is "partial 16S ribosomal RNA". It matches the Rfam family "Bacterial small subunit ribosomal RNA", at positions 30 to 289 of the family's 1533-position model. The record is from RNAcentral.
UUGAACGCUGGCGGCAGGCCUAACACAUGCAAGUCGAGCGGAUGAAGGGAGCUUGCUCCUGGAUUCAGCGGCGGACGGGUGGGUAAUGCCUAGGAAUCUGCCUGGUAGUGGGGGAUAACGUCCGGAAACGGGCGCUAAUACCGCAUACGUCCUGAGGGAGAAAGUGGGGGAUCUUCGGACCUCACGCUAUCAGAUGAGCCUAGGUCGGAUUAGCUAGUUGGUGGGGUAAAGGCCUACCAAGGCGACGAUCCGUAACUG